Molecule: long non-coding RNA, 1879 nt
Organism: Mercenaria mercenaria
Lineage: Eukaryota; Metazoa; Mollusca; Bivalvia; Venerida; Veneridae
Exons: 3
Source: RefSeq, a predicted model, not a curated record
GACAAUUUAUCGCCCUUCGUAUCAACACGCCAUUUGUAAACAUGAAAGGUCAUGUGAAAGGAAACUUUUAAACAGUAAUUUGACGAUUGAUUUUAAAUGGAUAAUGAAUGUCAUUGAGCGAUUUACAGAUCAACCAUUGAUGAACUACUGAGAAACAUCUGGCAUAUUGCUAUGACCUUAAACAAAAAAAAAAAGGAAUUCUCAAGGCAUGCCUGUAUACCACAUGUUGGAAGAGUUUGUGGAAUGGCUGAAGGAAGAAAGAAUUUCCAGCCAGAAAAAUAAAAUUCUUUAUGAAUUUGUGAAUGGAAAUGAAACCCAAGGAACUAAUAUAUUUGCUUACCAUCCAGUUGAAAGUAUGCCAAUGAAAUAAAGUGCAACUGUCACAGAAGUGCACAAAAUAAGGUCAUGUUUUCUACAAAAGUUCACCAAGUUGAUUCAAACUACAAAUGGGAGUCAAGAAAAAAGUAAAACUAACUGAACUGUCACAGUUCAACUGUGAGAAAUGUUUGGUAAAAGUAUGUUUUGUUGUCAGAACAGCAGUGAAGUGGUUAGAGUAAAACUGUCUUCAUUGUUUAAAGGUCCAAUACUAAGGAAAGUAAACAUUUUAAUUUCUUUUAAAAAGCACAGAAACUUUUUCAUUUUAUUGGAAAAUGAAAGUUGGUAUGUAGAAAUUCGAAAUAAAUCACAGUAUUUGUACAAUUAUUUUUCUAUGAAGUAUGAAGAAAGUUAAAAAGACCUGGGGGGUCAUUCUGUCGAUUCAUUGAAAUUUCAACAUAAUACACAUACAUUUCUUUGAGUUCCAAAGACCUUCUGUAAAUUUUGACGUGCCAAUCUUCAUUAUUUAGUAUCUUGCAGAAGUCUAUGCACUGGCUAUGAAAAAAAUUGCCUACUCACUUUCCCUUAGUAAUGGACCUUUAAGCAAUACAGAAUUUUUUUUAAAAAACAUACUCCAUGCAUAAUAUAUCUUGAGUGCUCUUUUUUAUUUAAAUAAUCAUACAGUUUCAAGAAAUUUGACAAUAAAUGCUAUCUUUAAUUUUAUAAGAAAAUAGUGCAUUGUUGCCAUGGUAUCAAACAUUAAUCUGACUGUAGAUUAUUGUAAAACAUCUUUCAUGUUUAUAUGUUCUAUUUGUUAAAAAAAUUAAUGUAAGGUCAUAUUCUUUUCUAAGUAAUAACUACAUCAACAAAACAUUAUGUUAUCAUAUGAAUCUGCCUUAAACUAGCAAGAGUUGUGUCGUGUGUAUCAGAAAAUUAUGUAUAUCCCAAACAGUGUCACAUCAGUUUACAUGAAAUGAGGUUUUCUUACUUUUGAAUACGAAAUUAGACAGCUUUCAAUGUAAAUAGUAUUUAGAAAAACACUUUAACAUAUUCAAUUAUUUCAAGAACUUGAUAGAAAUGGUACUUUUGGUAAGAAAAUACAUCAUGGUUGCUAUGGUAAUGAGUCACUGAUCAGUGUGACAUCUGUACUGCUACUUUAAGCAAAAUCAGUUUAUAAUAUUUCUAAUAAUUAUAUCUUUUUGCCUGAUUUUCUGUCUAACAGUUACAAAGAAAUAUGUCAAUGAGUCAAGUGUUCUAACAACAAGGUUAAUUUGUCAUAGUUUUGUCAUGUUAUCUAACCCGUAAUCCAGUAAAUCUAUUUUUGUACAAAAGAAAGCCAUAUUAAGAUUUUUGCAAAAAAAACUGUUAUCUUUAAACUCUGUCUGUACACUGGAAAAUGUUGACGGUAUAUUAACUUCACUUUCUUGAUGUAAAUUUUGGCUGGAUUUAUCAAGGAACUAUUCAAAUUGGACAACUGUGUUGCCAUGGAAACGAUUUUAAGGGGAAAAUAAUAUGUGCUUAUAUGAAAAAAAGAAACAGAAAGAAAUAAAUUUAAUUAACUGUA